Molecule: ribosomal RNA, 1650 nt
Filed under: Triticum aestivum (bread wheat)
Lineage: Eukaryota; Viridiplantae; Streptophyta; Magnoliopsida; Poales; Poaceae
Description: partial small subunit ribosomal RNA
Source: RNAcentral
AUGAGGUUGCUCAUGCUACUCCAUGGCGCGGCACUCGUGUUGCUUCUUGCGGCCGUUGCGCAUGCUCAACAAACAAUGAGGACCGACCUGGCUGACGCGGCAGCGCUGCACGCGGUGUUCGCCAAACUCGGUCAGAAGGCGGGGCCGCAAUGGAACAUCAGCGGCGAUCCCUGCACUGGCGCUGCCAUAGACAACACCAACAUCGACAACAACGACAUCUUCAGGGCCGCCAUCAAGUGCGAAGUCUGCACAGGCGGCAACACCUCCAUCUGCCGCAUCACCAGGCUGAAAAUAUACGCCCUGGACGCGGUGGGCCCCAUACCAGAAGAGUUGCGGAACCUCACAGCCCUGACCGAUCUGGAUUUAGGGCAAAACUACUUGACCGGGCCUUUACCAUCUUUCAUCGGGGAGUUGACUGAUAUGAAGUACAUUUCCUCUCUUCAACAUAUGAGGACUUUUGGGAUCAAUGCAUUAUCUGGACCUGUACCAAAGGAGCUCGGGAACCUUAAGAAUCUUAUAAAAUUAUGGGCAUCAGAUAAUGAUUUUACUGGGCAAAUACCAGAUUAUAUUGGUAGCUGGAGCGGCUUAACAGAGCUGAGGUUUCAGGGUAAUUCUUUUCAAGGUCCAAUUCCAGCUACUCUUUCCAAUCUUGGCCAAUUGGCAAGCUUACGAAUUGGUGAUAUAUUAAAUGGGAGCUCUUCUUCACUUGCAUUCAUCAAUAAUCUGACAUCUUUGAACACACUAGUUUUGAGGAACUGUAGGAUAUCUGAUAAGCUUGUAUCAAUUGACUUUUCGAAAUUCACGAGUUUAAAUUUACUAUUUCUUGGGAAUAAUAGCCUUUCAGGAAGCCUUCCAAGCUCAGUAGGAUCAUUGCUUAAAACUUUAGAUUUUUCUUACAACCAGCUCUCAGGAAGCAUUCCUUCAUGGGCAAAAAAUUCAGAAUUGAAUCUGGUGGCAAACAAUUUUGUGGCCGAUAGUUCCAGCAACAGUGUCUUACCUGCGGGGUGGGGGUGCCUUCAGCGUAAUACACCAUGUUUUCUUGAUUCUCGAAAUUCUUCUUCCUUUGCUGUGGACUCUGGAAAAUCCAUAGUAGGCCCAGAUAAUUCUGUGUAUGAACCUGAUCGUGCCAGUCUUGGAGCUGCGUCAUUAUAUGUUACAGGAGCACCAACAUGGGGUGUUAGCAACGUUGGAAAGUUCAUGGAGGCAAAUAAUGGAAGUUAUAUAAUCCACAGUCCUGGCCAGUUUCUCAAUACACUUGAACCAGAACUGUUCCAGAAUGCAAGGAUAUCGCCGUCAUCCUUAAGAUACUAUGGUAUUGGACUAGAAAAUGGAAACUAUACAGUCACACUUCUGUUUGCAGAGUUUGACUUCCCAGACACCCAGUCUUGGAAGAGCAGAGGUAGAAGGGUUUUUGAUAUAUAUGUCCAGGGUGAACGUAAGGAGCAGAACUUUGACAUAAGGAAGGCCGCAGGUGGGAAAUCUUUCACAGCUGUUAGGAAGCAGUAUACUGUUCCUGUCACGAAGAACUUUCUAGAAAUUCAUCUCUUCUGGGCUGGCAAGGGCACUUGCUGCAUUCCUACUCAAGGCUACUACGGGCCUGCGAUCUCAGCUUUGAGUGCAACACCAAGUAUAUCCCUUGACUUGAAAUAA